This 385-nucleotide ribosomal RNA is filed under the name uncultured bacterium. RNAcentral's name for it is "bacterial SSU rRNA". It matches the Rfam family "Bacterial small subunit ribosomal RNA", at positions 28 to 414 of the family's 1533-position model. The record is from RNAcentral.
GACGAACGCUGGCGGCGUGCUUAACACAUGCAAGUCGAGCGGUAAGGCCCUUUCGGGGGUACACGGGCGGCGAACGGGUGAGUAACACGUGGGUGACCUGCCCUCAGCUCUGGGAUAAGCCUGGGAAAACCGGGUCUAAUACUGGAUAUGACUCCAUGACGCAUGUUGUGGGGUGGAAAGCCUUGUGCGGCUGAGGAUGGGCCCGCGGCCUAUCAGCUUGUUGGUGGGGUGAUGGCCUACCAAGGCGACGACGGGUAGCCGGCCUGAGAGGGCGACCGGCCACACUGGGACUGAGACACGGCCCAGACUCCUACGGGAGGCAGCAGUGGGGAAUCUUGCGCAAUGGGCGAAAGCCUGACGCAGCGACGCCGCGUGAGGAUGACGG